This 406-nucleotide ribosomal RNA is filed under the name uncultured bacterium. Its description in RNAcentral is "partial 16S ribosomal RNA". It matches the Rfam family "Bacterial small subunit ribosomal RNA", at positions 30 to 526 of the family's 1533-position model. The record is from RNAcentral.
AUUGAACGCUGGCGGCAGGCCUAACACAUGCAAGUCGAACGAGUGGCGGACGGGUGAGUAAUGCCUGGGAAACUGCCCGAUGGUGGGGGAUAACUCCUGGAAACUUUAGCUAAUACCGCCUACUAUCAGAUGUGCCCAGAUGGGAUUAGCUAGUGGGUGGGGUAAAGGCGUACCAAGGCGACGAUCCGUAUCUGGUCUGAGAGGAUGACAAGCCACACUGGAACUGAGACACGGUCCAGACGCCUACGGGAGGCAGCAGUGGGGAAUAUUGGACAAUGGGCGAAAGCCUGAUGCAGCCAUGCCGCGUGUAUGAAGAAGGCCUUCGGGUUGUAAAGUACUUUAAGCGGGGAGGCGUUACCAGCAGAAGAAGCACCGGCUAACUCCGUGCCAGCAGCCGCGGUAAUUC